This 2346-nucleotide ribosomal RNA is filed under the name synthetic metagenome. RNAcentral's name for it is "bacterial LSU rRNA". It matches the Rfam family "Bacterial large subunit ribosomal RNA", at positions 477 to 2830 of the family's 2925-position model. The record is from RNAcentral.
CUAGUGACCGAUAGUGAACCAGUACCGUGAGGGAAAGGUGAAAAGCACCCCGGAAGGGGAGUGAAAUAGAACCUGAAACCGUGUGCUUACAAGUAGUCAGAGCCCGUUAAUGGGUGAUGGCGUGCCUUUUGUAGAAUGAACCGGCGAGUUACGAUUUGAUGCAAGGUUAAGCAGUAAAUGUGGAGCCGUAGCGAAAGCGAGUCUGAAUAGGGCGUUGAGUAUUUGGUCGUAGACCCGAAACCAGGUGAUCUACCCUUGGUCAGGUUGAAGUUCAGGUAACACUGAAUGGAGGACCGAACCGACUUACGUUGAAAAGUGAGCGGAUGAACUGAGGGUAGCGGAGAAAUUCCAAUCGAACUUGGAGAUAGCUGGUUCUCUCCGAAAUAGCUUUAGGGCUAGCCUCAAGUGAUGAUUAUUGGAGGUAGAGCACUGUUUGGACGAGGGGCCCCUCUCGGGUUACCGAAUUCAGACAAACUCCGAAUGCCAAUUAAUUUAACUUGGGAGUCAGAACAUGGGUGAUAAGGUCCGUGUUCGAAAGGGAAACAGCCCAGACCACCAGCUAAGGUCCCAAAAUAUAUGUUAAGUGGAAAAGGAUGUGGCGUUGCCCAGACAACUAGGAUGUUGGCUUAGAAGCAGCCAUCAUUUAAAGAGUGCGUAAUAGCUCACUAGUCGAGUGACACUGCGCCGAAAAUGUACCGGGGCUAAACAUAUUACCGAAGCUGUGGAUUGUCCUUUGGACAAUGGUAGGAGAGCGUUCUAAGGGCGUCGAAGCAUGAUCGCAAGGACAUGUGGAGCGCUUAGAAGUGAGAAUGCCGGUGUGAGUAGCGAAAGACGGGUGAGAAUCCCGUCCACCGAUUGACUAAGGUUUCCAGAGGAAGGCUCGUCCGCUCUGGGUUAGUCGGGUCCUAAGCUGAGGCCGACAGGCGUAGGCGAUGGAUAACAGGUUGAUAUUCCUGUACCACCUAUAAUCGUUUUAAUCGAUGGGGGGACGCAGUAGGAUAGGCGAAGCGUGCGAUUGGAUUGCACGUCUAAGCAGUAAGGCUGAGUAUUAGGCAAAUCCGGUACUCGUUAAGGCUGAGCUGUGAUGGGGAGAAGACAUUGUGUCUUCGAGUCGUUGAUUUCACACUGCCGAGAAAAGCCUCUAGAUAGAAAAUAGGUGCCCGUACCGCAAACCGACACAGGUAGUCAAGAUGAGAAUUCUAAGGUGAGCGAGCGAACUCUCGUUAAGGAACUCGGCAAAAUGACCCCGUAACUUCGGGAGAAGGGGUGCUCUUUAGGGUUAACGCCCAGAAGAGCCGCAGUGAAUAGGCCCAAGCGACUGUUUAUCAAAAACACAGGUCUCUGCUAAACCGUAAGGUGAUGUAUAGGGGCUGACGCCUGCCCGGUGCUGGAAGGUUAAGAGGAGUGGUUAGCUUCUGCGAAGCUACGAAUCGAAGCCCCAGUAAACGGCGGCCGUAACUAUAACGGUCCUAAGGUAGCGAAAUUCCUUGUCGGGUAAGUUCCGACCCGCACGAAAGGCGUAACGAUUUGGGCACUGUCUCAACGAGAGACUCGGUGAAAUUUUAGUACCUGUGAAGAUGCAGGUUACCCGCGACAGGACGGAAAGACCCCGUGGAGCUUUACUGUAGCCUGAUAUUGAAAUUCGGCACAGCUUGUACAGGAUAGGUAGGAGCCUUUGAAACGUGAGCGCUAGCUUACGUGGAGGCGCUGGUGGGAUACUACCCUAGCUGUGUUGGCUUUCUAACCCGCACCACUUAUCGUGGUGGGAGACAGUGUCAGGCGGGCAGUUUGACUGGGGCGGUCGCCUCCUAAAAGGUAACGGAGGCGCUCAAAGGUUCCCUCAGAAUGGUUGGAAAUCAUUCAUAGAGUGUAAAGGCAUAAGGGAGCUUGACUGCGAGACCUACAAGUCGAGCAGGGUCGAAAGACGGGCUUAGUGAUCCGGUGGUUCCGCAUGGAAGGGCCAUCGCUCAACGGAUAAAAGCUACCCCGGGGAUAACAGGCUUAUCUCCCCCAAGAGUUCACAUCGACGGGGAGGUUUGGCACCUCGAUGUCGGCUCAUCGCAUCCUGGGGCUGUAGUCGGUCCCAAGGGUUGGGCUGUUCGCCCAUUAAAGCGGUACGCGAGCUGGGUUCAGAACGUCGUGAGACAGUUCGGUCCCUAUCCGUCGUGGGCGUAGGAAAUUUGAGAGGAGCUGUCCUUAGUACGAGAGGACCGGGAUGGACAUACCUCUGGUGUACCAGUUGUCGUGCCAACGGCAUAGCUGGGUAGCUAUGUGUGGACGGGAUAAGUGCUGAAAGCAUCUAAGCAUGAAGCCCCCCUCAAGAUGAGAUUUCCCAACUUCGGUUAU